RNAcentral lists this ribosomal RNA (253 nucleotides) under uncultured bacterium. Its description in RNAcentral is "partial 16S ribosomal RNA". It matches the Rfam family "Bacterial small subunit ribosomal RNA", at positions 524 to 776 of the family's 1533-position model. The record is from RNAcentral.
UACGAAGGGGGCUAGCGUUGUUCGGAUUUACUGGGCGUAAAGCGCACGUAGGCGGAUUGUUAAGUCAGGGGUGAAAUCCUGGAGCUCAACUCCAGAACUGCCUUUGAUACUGGCAAUCUUGAGUCCGGAAGAGGUGAGUGGAACUCCUAGUGUAGAGGUGGAAUUCGUAGAUAUUAGGAAGAACACCAGUGGCGAAGGCGGCUCACUGGUCCGGUACUGACGCUGAGGAGCGAAAGCCAGGGGAGCAAACGGG